RNAcentral lists this ribosomal RNA (500 nucleotides) under uncultured bacterium. Its description in RNAcentral is "partial 16S ribosomal RNA". It matches the Rfam family "Bacterial small subunit ribosomal RNA", at positions 899 to 1397 of the family's 1533-position model. The record is from RNAcentral.
ACUCAAAGGAAUAGACGGGGACCCGCACAAGCAGUGGAGUAUGUGGUUUAAUUCGAAGCAACGCGAAGAACCUUACCAGGUCUUGACAUCCCUCUGACCGUCCUAGAGAUAGGGCUUUCCUUCGGGACAGAGGAGACAGGUGGUGCAUGGUUGUCGUCAGCUCGUGUCGUGAGAUGUUGGGUUAAGUCCCGCAACGAGCGCAACCCUUGAACUUAGUUGCCAGCAGGUAAGGCUGGGCACUCUAGGUUGACUGCCGGUGACAAACCGGAGGAAGGCGGGGAUGACGUCAAAUCAUCAUGCCCCUUAUGACCUGGGCUACACACGUACUAAAAUGGCCGGUACAACGGGCUGCGAAAUCGCGAGAUGGAGCGAAUCCCACCAAAGCCGGUCUCAGUUCGGAUUGCAGGCUGCAACUCGCCUGCAUGAAGUCGGAAUUGCUAGUAAUCGCGGAUCAGCAUGCCGCGGUGAAUACGUUCCCGGGUCUUGCACACACCGCCCGU